ACGGCCGCAAGGUUAAAACUCAAAUGAAUUGACGGGGGCCCGCACAAGCGGUGGAGCAUGUGGUUUAAUUCGAUGCAACGCGAAGAACCUUACCUGGUCUUGACAUCCACGGAAGUUUUCAGAGAUGAGAAUGUGCCUUCGGGAACCGUGAGACAGGUGCUGCAUGGCUGUCGUCAGCUCGUGUUGUGAAAUGUUGGGUUAAGUCCCGCAACGAGCGCAACCCUUAUCCUUUGUUGCCAGCGGUCCGGCCGGGAACUCAAAGGAGACUGCCAGUGAUAAACUGGAGGAAGGUGGGGAUGACGUCAAGUCAUCAUGGCCCUUACGACCAGGGCUACACACGUGCUACAAUGGCGCAUACAAAGAGAAGCGACCUCGCGAGAGCAAGCGGACCUCAUAAAGUGCGUCGUAGUCCGGAUUGGAGUCUGCAACUCGACUCCAUGAAGUCGGAAUCGCUAGUAAUCGUGGAUCAGAAUGCCACGGUGAAUACGUUCCCGGGCCUUGUACACACCGCCCGUCACACCAUGGGAGUGGGUUGCAAAAGAAGUAGGUAGCUUAACCUUCGGGAGGGCGCUUACCACUUUGUGAUUCAUGACUGGGGUGAAGUCGUAACAAGGUAACCGUAGGGGAACCUGCGGUUGGAU
This 641-nucleotide ribosomal RNA is filed under the name Shigella flexneri. RNAcentral's name for it is "bacterial SSU rRNA". It matches the Rfam family "Bacterial small subunit ribosomal RNA", at positions 882 to 1523 of the family's 1533-position model. The record is from RNAcentral. Lineage: Bacteria; Pseudomonadati; Pseudomonadota; Gammaproteobacteria; Enterobacterales; Enterobacteriaceae.